RNAcentral lists this ribosomal RNA (253 nucleotides) under uncultured bacterium. RNAcentral's name for it is "partial 16S ribosomal RNA". It matches the Rfam family "Bacterial small subunit ribosomal RNA", at positions 524 to 776 of the family's 1533-position model. The record is from RNAcentral.
UACGGAGGGUGCAAGCGUUAUCCGGAUUCACUGGGUUUAAAGGGUGCGUAGGCGGGCAGGUAAGUCCGUGGUGAAAUCUCUGAGCUUAACUCAGAAACUGCCAUUGAUACUAUCAAUCUUGAAUACCGUGGAGGUCAGCGGAAUAUGUCAUGUAGCGGUGAAAUGCUUAGAUAUGACAUAGAACACCAAUUGCGAAGGCAGCUGGCUACACGAAUAUUGACACUGAUGCACGAAAGCGUGGGGAGCAAACAGG